UCUCCGUUGGUUAACCAUCGGAGGGAUCAUUAACUAGUUAUCUAACUCCCAAACCCAUGUGAACUUACCAUUUGUUGCCUCGGCAGAGCCUACCCGGUAACUGUUCGGAGAAGCUACCCUGUAGCUACCCUGUAACGGCCUACCCUGUAACGCACUGCCGGUGGACUUUUAAACUCUUGUUAUUUUAUAGUAAUCUGAGCGUCUUAUUUUAAUAAGUCAAAACUUUCAACAACGGAUCUCUUGGUUCUGGCAUCGAUGAAGAACGCAGC
Molecule: unclassified non-coding RNA, 269 nt
Filed under: uncultured fungus
Lineage: Eukaryota; Fungi
Description: sequence contains ITS1, 5.8S rRNA gene
Rfam family: 5.8S ribosomal RNA (bases 221-269)
Source: RNAcentral